This is a long non-coding RNA of Cyprinus carpio (common carp), 1276 nucleotides long. The record is from Ensembl. Lineage: Eukaryota; Metazoa; Chordata; Actinopteri; Cypriniformes; Cyprinidae.
UAAACUUUCCUUUAGAUAUUUAUGUAAGUUUUAUAUAAUACACAACAUGUAACAUGCCCAUGAACUAAAUAAGGGCAUGUUAUGUGCCCUCAGAAAAUCCAGAGAGGAUGAUGUUAAUGAUGAUUAAUAAUAUCAAUAUUAAUGUUUUAGAUGAUAAUUAUUAUAAUGUAAUAAAAUUUGUAAUUAUUAUUAUUUAUUAAAUGCAUUUUUUUUUUUUUUUGGUUAUUAUUUUGAUUAUAAACCACAUAAUUUUAUCUCUCCUCCUCAGAUAUAUGAAUAAUGAAAUAUUUCUCUCUUUCAGUAGUCACAUUGAUCCAUCUGGAUCUGGUUCGGCUCCUGGCAGUAACCUCCAGACCUCAUUCCAACAUGCCAGUAGUUUUCACCUUUCAGUGUCAGUGCAGAGUCGGUAGCCCUGGGUAAGCUCACUAUUCCGGCUCUCCAGAACAUUCUAAUUACCAGUCCACCCUCAUUAUGUUUGCCAUGUCAUUGUGUGCGGACGAACGAAUGAACAAACGGAGGGAGGGAGGAGAGGCAGAGAGAAAGAGAGACUCUUUUUUGAUCUUCGCUUCCAUUAGGACACAUUCCUGGAAAAGUGUGAUCUCUCUUCCCGUGCUUUCGCGAUUGUGUCUUAAUGGAGACAUCUACAGCAUUUAUAAAAUAAAAUCCUCUGAAUUUAUGCCUCGGUCUGCUCCGUAAUCCCUUACUGCAGACUCCGCACAUCCUCUCUCUCUUCCCGGCCCCGUUCCAAAUGAACUCAUACGUCGGCUGUAUGCAGAUCGCCUGCCUUCUCGCCUCUCAUCGAGGGCCUGCUGAUAGGGCUAAACGAUUGACCUCUGACCUCAUGACAACAGGAGGGAGAGAACAGGAAGCUUCUGUGUUAAUCCAGGCAGGCAUCUGACGAGCGCAGGGAAAGACUGGGAGUCCAUAUCAGCCUGACCCCAGCGCACAGCACCUUUAUCUGUUAAUCUACAGCUCUCUUUAACAGCUUGCUGAAUUAACACCCAGGCAGGGCAAGAGGGCUUCCGAUUUACACACAUCAGCCCCUCUGCGUCGAGCACAAAAGAAACGCUGCCUUGUCUUGCUGCUCGUGUAUGUAAGACGUUGUACCGUCUGCCCGCCCUCCCGUAGAGCCACUCUCUUCCUGGGCACUCAGGAAGUUAAGGAAAGUUGUGUUAAUGUCCUUAGAAUAUGAUGAUAUCAGAAUGUUAAAAUGGGUUAGUGUGACAAACUGCUGCGCGUGUUAAUCGGUAAUAAAAUUAUCAUUUCUUUAGGUUCA